Daphnia magna is the source of this 792-nucleotide long non-coding RNA. RefSeq lists it as uncharacterized. NCBI's taxonomy places the organism in Eukaryota, Metazoa, Arthropoda, Branchiopoda, Diplostraca, Daphniidae. The transcript has 5 exons. The record is from RefSeq and is a predicted model, not a curated record.
GCAGAAACUCUAGAUGGCGUUCAUAUGCGUCUAUUAUGAAGAUUAUGAGUGACAAGUUAAAUGGGUGUUUGUUACGUUACCCUGUUAUGUGUUUCAAAGGAUUUUUCAUCAAAAAAUUUACGAUUGCUUUUUGUAUGUGGUGGUGUUUCGCCUUGUCAGCUAUGCCAGCUGCUGAACUAGCAGCCUGCAUUCCUGCUAUCAAUGUACCACAAGAGAUCCUGACACUUUAAGAAGGCCACUAUUGCUUACAUGAAGAUCACCAUCCAGUUCAAGGACUGUUAAUGGACCUCAAGCCUUUUGUUUAAGCUUAGUGAUGUGUUCUCUUGUCAGUCAACGACAGUGUCUUCAUCUACUUUGUGUUGCUAACCAUCAGCCCUCCUUCAGCUCUUCAUUGUGGUAUUUCAGAACAUUACUUAUCUUCCAAUACCCACAUCGUCAUCGUUAUCGUCAUUGGCUUUCCAUAGAAAAUCUUCAUUGUUAAUCCUGCUGUUCUUCUUGCCGUUACUUAGCCAACUCACAUGGAUAGGCUUUAACAACAUCUCUUUUUUUGGACUGCAAAUAUUCAUCUUCCUUCGGUACAACACUGCCGUUUUGACAAUUUCGGUAGUUUUGCCCCUAGUGGACCACACGCAACUACAUUUUCUUCGUCUUCCUGUCAUUGUUGUCUACGACUUCACCUCAACGCUGUCUUCGUUGACGUCUUCGCCUUCAUCUCCGUCUCGUCAUCUUCGCCGUCUUUGUCUACGCCAUCACCUCGUCGCCGGCUUUUCCUUCGCUCUUCACGUAGGGAAU